GGAUGUCCAUGUCAGAUGGCCCGAACAGAAAUUAUCUAACUCUUGCAGUGGUGCUGUUCACGGAUUCAUCACUAUCAUUGAACUCUUCACUUUCCUUUAUGCACUGUCAUAAAUUUCGCUUUGUUUCUUUUAACUCCGAUUUCGGAGUUCUAAUGGAGGAGAAUGUCAUCUGCACAACGGAAACCAACAGUGUUCCGAUUGAGGAGUUGUUUCAAACCAGCAUUCUUUUCAUGGAUAGGAAACGGAAAUUGCAAGCAGAAGAAUUAGGCACACCUCCACCAAAGCUUAAAUGGCUAAGUCGAGGCUUUGCUUCAGAGUAUACUUUUCCUGCUAAUGGUGACUCAGAUGUAAUAGAUAAAGGGGAGUUAAAUGGAAUGUCAACUGCUGAGGAGUCAGAACAAGAGUCUGCCAAGAUAGUAACAGUAUUGCUGCCGAUGCUGACUCGAGCAUUUCUGUGUCUAAUGAAACUGAAGUAGGAGCUGGUCAUGGAUAUUUCAAAGAAUAUUCAUCUGACAAGCCUAUAAAUUCUUCUGUUACCUGCGGAGGCAAUUGUUCUAAGCAUGCCCAAAAUUCUUCCAAGAGCAGUUUCAUAAUGAAAUCAAGUUCCCAUAUUCUGGAAUCACCAUCUGCUGGCAAAAAGCAUGAUUUUCUCUAUCAUGAUAUAGGCCUGAAGUCAUCCCUGAAUUAUGAGGAGCACCUCCUGGAAUUUGGAAGUCACAGCAAUUGCAGCUGUCUAGAAUGCAGAGCUAGUUUUGAAGGAUACACAGACAAGGAACUUGAAGAAAUGCUUUAUUCUAAUGGAGCGACUCCAAAUAAUUAUGUUCUUUCUUCUGAAAGAUGGACUCUAAACCAAGAUACUCAGCAAGGCGCCAAGAAAUUAACCAUUGAUAAAGAGUUCGAGCAGUACUUUUCCAUGCUUAUGCUGUGAUCCAGUUCUUUUGAACAUGAGCAGUUUAUGUACAUUAUUUAAUAAUUGAUGUUUAGGAGACAAAUUUGGGGUUGACAACUUAUGGUGGAAUUGCAAGUUUUUAGUUACUUACUGGUGCAUGUGCUGUGAAUUGCAGAUAUUGCUUAAAAAAAUUGUGUUUUUCUCACUAUCAAUUUUAGCUUUUUCGGAGAUGAAUAUUCUUCUGAGCCAGGUACUUUCUAUAUCUUUUUCUUCCUUUUCUUUUUGCAUCUUUUUUCAUGAUAAGCCAAUCACACUUAUUGUCUUCCAACAGACUCGUAUGUUUUAUUUUUCACGGGCCCCCAUGCUAAUUAAUGGUGUUGAUGUUCUUUGAACAGAUGAGAAUAUUUCAAUACUUUUUUACUUGCAAUUCCUUUCUUGCAGAGAUUGACAAAACAAUGAGGUAAUCCAAUAAGAAGUUCAUUUAGUAUUUGGCAGUAGGGUAACUUUUGAUUCAUUGACAAUAUUUUUUAGUCAGCCUCAUAGCUUUAAAUCAGUGUUAGUAUUGUCGCUCUAAUGCAGAAUUUCAUAAACCGUUGAAUUUCUGGAACAGCUUCAACUACAAUACUAAUAAGAGUUCCAAACUUUUUUGCAUGAGAAGAUGGUUCAUCUCCAAUGAAAUAGAACCUUAAGAUGAAGACAUGAAAUGACAUAGAAAUGUUCUCAGUUCACCCCUGGUAGAGACGUGCUUCAGACUUCAGCAAUACUUGUUUCAGAAGCACAAAUUAAUUUACAGCAUGAAAACGGAUCCUUGCAGUAGGGAGCUUGACAAAUGACAUGGAAUGAUUCCAAACCCUAAUGUAUCGUAUGACUUGGUUUAUUGCACAGCUUUCGUAACUGGCUAACAAAAAUAACAUGCAGUUGAAAGGCAUUGUCUCAUAAUUGAACAAAUGAAGCAAAUUUAUGGGGCAGAAAGUACAACAAAAACACUCAAGGAAAAUUGUAAAUUAAUGGGACCCAAUCAGCAUGAUGGAAGAUCUGAAGGAGGUGGUGGUAAUUUUUCAUUAGGGAGGAACCCAUUGAGUACAAUCCAUGCCAUUCGCAAACCCCAACUUGUGUGCACGUCAAAGUGGCAGUGCAUAAGCCAUACUCCUGUUUGACAAGGUACCUGGAUUGUCUGCAAAGAACCGAAUGGCGAGCCAGCCACCUGAUGGAAUCCCCACUGUAUUCCUUUCCACUGGAUCCACCAGGUUGAAGUUGGCAGGGUCCUUGUUUGGAUCGUAGUUUCCAAACCCUUCCCCAACGACGAAGAAGUUGAAACCAUGCAGGUGAAGAGGAUGGCUCUCUGCCCCCAGAAUGCUAGUGUCUUGCAACACUACCUCGACACUUGUAUUAAACUGUAACACGACAGUCCGGGUUGCAUUGGUAACUAUUGUGUUAUUAGGCGGUGUUCCAGUAUAGUUGUAUGGAUUUGUGGGUUGAGUUGGGAAAUCAGUGGUGAAAACACCAUUUGAUUUACCAAAAAAGUAGGAUUGCAGGAGAGCUGUUGAUGGGAGAGGAAAAGAAAUAUUGUUAACUGAAGCUGCAAAUUUUGUGCCAUUUGGUCCUUGGCAAGUUGUGUUAGCAGGGCAAGGACUUGUUCCAAGUCCUAUGGUGAAGUAAAAGCGCUUUUGAACGGUUUGUGGAACGUUUGCUGGAAAUUUGGCUGUGGCUAAGCUACGGAAUUUCCUGGUGAAGUUUGCAACAAAACUGGUGGCAUUCACUGCAGGCAGGGUUGGGUUUACGACUGUUUUGUUUGCAAUGGAAGCGUCGUGUUGGUAUUCAAGGAUCCGGCAACAGUGGAAUUGUCAAUGGUGCCUUGCCCUGUAAAGUAGGGUGCGGCAGCCAUGAUGAAGGUGGCAGUUGGAGAGGUUGGCUUGGUUUUCAGAAGCACAUUGGUGGUCUGGCCUGGGGUUAUAACAACUACAUCAGUCUUGAACGGUUUGACGUAUAAAGCAUCGGCUUCAACAACAGUGACCGAAUGGUUGGCUAUACUAAAAUAUAGUUCGUCAUUCAUUGCUGCAUUUAUCAGGCGUAGCAUGUACGUCUUGCCUGGUUGCACCUUCAACUUGAAUGUAUCUGGAAAGCAAACAUGCCCGAAAUGGAUUUUAAUUUCAAACAAGUCACAUUGUCUUUUAAGGAAGCAAACAGGUAUGGGAGAAGGCAAAAUGCAAAAUCUCCCCAGUAUAACGUUGAAAGGUAUUGAUUGAACAUCAAGUAGUAAGAUUCUUUAGACUCGUAUGAGAUUUUGAAGGGCGGUCUUCCGUAUUGAUUCAGGCAUAAGGAAGCUUUCAAACUUGAUUUGGUUUAACUAAGUUCUUCAGCUUCGAUUUUGUCUCAAUCCAGUUGUCAUUGUGCUUGCAGGUGUACAAUGGCUGUACUAAAUAUAAGGGGGUUACAAAUGAAGGAUUAAUUUUUCAAUACAAUGAUAGUGUAUAAUUACAUGUAUGAUAACUAAUUUAAAUUUUUUAAACAUGUCUUGUAUUCAAUCUGAAAGUAUAUUCGUUGUCA
Non-coding RNA from Coffea arabica (coffee), 3436 nucleotides. The record is from RefSeq and is a predicted model, not a curated record. NCBI's taxonomy places the organism in Eukaryota, Viridiplantae, Streptophyta, Magnoliopsida, Gentianales, Rubiaceae.